Molecule: ribosomal RNA, 140 nt
Filed under: uncultured bacterium
Lineage: Bacteria
Description: partial 16S ribosomal RNA
Rfam family: Bacterial small subunit ribosomal RNA
Source: RNAcentral
ACAGUGGGGAAUAUUGCACAAUGGGGGAAACCCUGAUGCAGCGACGCCGCGUGAGCGAAGAAGUAUUUCGGUAUGUAAAGCUCUAUCAGCAGGGAAGAAAAUGACGGUACCUGACUAAGAAGCCCGGCUAACUACGUGCC